Molecule: ribosomal RNA, 397 nt
Filed under: uncultured bacterium
Lineage: Bacteria
Description: partial 16S ribosomal RNA
Rfam family: Bacterial small subunit ribosomal RNA
Source: RNAcentral
AUACGUAGGGGGCGAGCGUUGUCCGGAAUGAUUGGGCGUAAAGGGCGCGUAGGCGGCCCGGUAAGUCUGGAGUGAAAGUCCUGUUUUUAAGAUGGGAAUUGCUUUGGAUACUGUCGGGCUUGAGUGCAGGAGAGGUAAGUGGAAUUCCCAGUGUAGCGGUGAAAUGCGUAGAGAUUGGGAGGAACACCAGUGGCGAAGGCGACUUACUGGACUGUAACUGACGCUGAGGCGCGAAAGUGUGGGGAGCAAACUGGAUUAGAUACCCUGGUAGUCCACACUGUAAACGAUGAAUGCUAGGUGUAGGGGGUAUCGACCCCUUCUGUGCCGCAGUCAACACAAUAAGCAUUCCGCCUGGGGAGUACGGCCGCAAGGUUGAAACUCAAAUGAAUUGACGGGG